This 1488-nucleotide ribosomal RNA is filed under the name Chloroflexota bacterium. RNAcentral describes it as "bacterial SSU rRNA". It matches the Rfam family "Bacterial small subunit ribosomal RNA". Lineage: Bacteria; Bacillati; Chloroflexota. The record is from RNAcentral.
GAUGGAGAGUUUGAUCCUGGCUCAGGACGAACGCUGGCGGCGUGCCUUACGCAUGUAAGUCGGACGGCCCGAGAGGGCAGUGGCGAACGGCUGAGUAACACGUGAGUGACCUGUCCUGGUGAGGGGGAUAGCCGCUCGAAAGAGCGGGUAAUACCGCGUACGCUGGCUGGGGGGGACUUCAGUCAGGAAAGCAGUGAUGCGCACUGGGAGGGGCUCGCGGCCCAUCAGGUAGUUGGUGAGGUAAGGGCUCACCAAGCCGAUGACGGGUAGCUGGUCUGAGAGGAUGAUCAGCCAGACUGGGACUGAGAGACGGCCCAGACUCCUACGGGGGGCAGCAGCGGGGAAUAUUGCACAAUGGGCGGAAGCCUGAUGCAGCGACGCCGCGUGAGGGAAGAAGGUCUUCGGAUUGUAAACCUCUUUUGUCGGGGAAGAUGGUGACGGUACCCGGCGAAUAAGCCCCGGCUAACUACGUGCCAGCAGCCGCGGUAAUACGUAGGGGGCGAGCGUUGUCCGGAUUUACUGGGCGUAAAGAGCGCGUAGGCGGUUUGGCAAGUUGGCUGUUAAAUGCCUGGGCUUAACCCAGGUGGGUCGGCCGAGACUGCUGGACUAGAGGGCGGUAGAGGAAGGUGGAAUUCCGGGUGUAGUGGUGAAAUGCUUAGAGAUCCGGAGGAACACCGGUGGCGAAGGCGGCCUUCUGGGCCGUACCUGACGCUGAGGCGCGAAAGCGUGGGGAGCGAACUGAAUUAGAUACUCAGGUAGUCCACGCCCUAAACGAUGGACGCUAGGUGUAGGGGGUAUCGACUCCUCCUGUGCCGAAGCUAACGCAUUAAGCGUCCCGCCUGGGGAGUACGGCCGCAAGGCUAAAACUCAAAGGAAUUGACGGGGGCCCGCACAAGCAGCGGAGCGUGUGGUUUAAUUCGACGCAACGCGCAGAACCUUACCAGGGCUUGACAUGCACACGAAUGUCGCAGAGAUGUGGCAGUCCGCAAGGACGUGUGCACAGAUGCUGCAUGGCUGUCGUCAGCUCGUGCCGUGAGGUGUUGGGUUAAGUCCCGCAACGAGCGCAACCCUCGUCGCUAGUUGAAUGUCUAGCGAGACUGCCGAGUCUAACUCGGAGGAAGGUGGGGAUGAUGUCAAGUCAGCACGGCUCUUACGUCCUGGGCUACACACACGCUACAAUGGCCGGUACAGAGGGGUGCGAAGGGGCGACCUGGAGCAAAUCCCAUCAAAGCUGGCCUCAGUUCAGAUUGGAGUCUGCAACCCGACUCCAUGAAGGCGGAGUUGCUAGUAACCGCAGGUCAGCACACUGCGGUGAAUACGUUCCCGGGCCUUGUACACACCGCCCGUCACGUCAUGAAAGCCGGCAAGACCUGAAGCCGCUGAGCUAACCCGAGAGGGGGGCAGGCGCCGAAGGUCGGGCUGGUGAUUGGGACGAAGUCGUAACAAGGUAGCCGUAGCGGAAGCUGCGGCUGGAUCACCUCCUUUCUA